AAAGGGAGACCUAAUUCGGGUAUAAGACGAAAAAAUAGUAGUCGAAACCAAGAAUCAAUCCCAAAAGGUCGGAGCGAGGCAUGAGGCUUUCAAACUAGGUUCUGGGUUCAUAAAAGACCUGAAUCAGGAACAAGGGCUAUUAGCUCAGGUGGUUAGAGCGCACCCCUGAUAAGGGUGAGGUCCCUGGUUCGAGUCCAGGAUGGCCCACCUGCACAGGUGGCAAAAACAAAAGAAGCGAGGAAUCAGCACCUUAUCUUACUUAUAUAGUAAGAGAGAAUGCUGGCUCUGAGUAAAGAGUCCAGAGGAACCUUGAAAACUGCAUAGAGCUAGGUGAAAAAGCCAAAAAAGAAGACCGCAAG
Molecule: transfer RNA, 359 nt
Filed under: uncultured Microcystis sp.
Lineage: Bacteria; Bacillati; Cyanobacteriota; Cyanophyceae; Chroococcales; Microcystaceae
Description: partial 16S-23S ribosomal RNA intergenic spacer
Rfam family: tRNA (bases 134-207)
Source: RNAcentral